UGAGAGGUUGAACGGCCACAUUGGGACUGAGACACGGCCCAAACUCCUACGGGAGGCAGCAGUAGGGAAUUUUCGGCAAUGGAGGAAACUCUGACCGAGCAACGCCGCGUGAACGAUGAAGUAUUUCGGUACGUAAAGUUCUUUUAUUAGGGAAGAAUAAAUGAUGGAAAAAUCAUUCUGACGGUACCUAAUGAAUAAGCCCCGGCUAACUAUGUGCCAGCAGCCGCGGUAAUACAUAGGGGGCAAGCGUUAUCCGGAAUUAUUGGGCGUAAAGGGUGCGUAGGCGGUUAAAUAAGUUUAUGGUCUAAGUGCAAUGCUUAACAUUGUGAUGCUAUAAAAACUGUUUAGCUAGAGUAAGAUAGAGGCAAGUGGAAUUCCAUGUGUAGUGGUAAAAUGCGUAAAUAUAUGGAGGAACACCAGUAGCGAAGGCGGCUUGCUGGGUCUUUACUGACGCUGAGGCACGAAAGCGUGGGGAGCAAACAGGAUUAGAUACCCUGGUAGUCCACGCCGUAAACGAUGAGUACUAAAUGUUGGGUAAAACCAGUGUUGAAGUUAACACAUUAAGUACUCCGCCUGAGUAGUACGUACGCAAGUAUGAAACUUAAAGGAAUUGACGGGACUCCGCACAAGCGGUGGAUCAUGUUGUUUAAUUCGAAGGUACCCGAAAAACCUCACCAGGUCUUGACAUGCUUCUGCAAAGCUGUAGAAACACAGUGGAGGUUAUCAGUUGCACAGGUGGUGCAUGGUUGUCGUCAGCUCGUGUCGUGAGAUGUUGGGUUAAGUCCCGCAACGAGCGCAACCCUUAUUGUUAGUUGCCAGCACGUAAUGGUGGGGACUUUAGCAAGACUGCCAGUGAUAAAUUGGAGGAAGGUGGGGACGACGUCAAAUCAUCAUGCCCCUUAUGACCUGGGCUACAAACGUGAUACAAUG
Molecule: ribosomal RNA, 930 nt
Filed under: Cassava witches'-broom aster yellows phytoplasma
Lineage: Bacteria; Bacillati; Mycoplasmatota; Mollicutes; Acholeplasmatales; Acholeplasmataceae
Description: bacterial SSU rRNA
Rfam family: Bacterial small subunit ribosomal RNA
Source: RNAcentral